Molecule: ribosomal RNA, 360 nt
Filed under: Firmicutes bacterium oral taxon C68
Lineage: Bacteria; Bacillati; Bacillota
Description: bacterial SSU rRNA
Rfam family: Bacterial small subunit ribosomal RNA
Source: RNAcentral
GACGAACGCUGGCGGCGUGCCUAAUACAUGCAAGUGGGACGCAAGGGAACACACUGUGCUUGCACACCGUGUUUUCUUGAGUCGCGAACGGGUGAGUAACGCGUAGGUAACCUGCCUAUUAGCGGGGGAUAACUAUUGGAAACGAUAGCUAAUACCGCAUAAUAUUAAUUAUUGCAUGAUAAUUGAUUGAAAGAUGCAAGCGCAUCACUAGUAGAUGGACCUGCGUUGUAUUAGCUAGUUGGUAAGGUAAGAGCUUACCAAGGCGACGAUACAUAGCCGACCUGAGAGGGUGAUCGGCCACACUGGGACUGAGACACGGCCCAGACUCCUACGGGAGGCAGCAGUAGGGAAUAUUUGGCA